RNAcentral lists this ribosomal RNA (229 nucleotides) under uncultured bacterium. Its description in RNAcentral is "partial 16S ribosomal RNA". It matches the Rfam family "Bacterial small subunit ribosomal RNA", at positions 568 to 796 of the family's 1533-position model. The record is from RNAcentral.
UCCGUAGGUGGAUAAUUAAGUCAGAGGUGAAAGUUUGCAGCUCAACUGUAAAAUUGCCUUUGAUACUGGUUAUCUUGAGUUAUUAUGAAGUAGUUAGAAUAUGUAGUGAAGCGGUGAAAUGCAUAGAUAUUACAUAGAAUACCAAUUGCGGAGGCAGAUUACUAAUAAUAUACUGACACUGAUGGACGAAAGCGUGGGUAGCGAACAGGAUUAGAUACCCUGGUAGUCC